This is a long non-coding RNA of Leopardus geoffroyi (Geoffroy's cat), 774 nucleotides long. RefSeq lists it as uncharacterized. Lineage: Eukaryota; Metazoa; Chordata; Mammalia; Carnivora; Felidae. The record is from RefSeq and is a predicted model, not a curated record. The transcript is spliced from 4 exons.
UUUUGUUUCUUGGGAUGUGGUGCUAAGGUGGGUAUAUAAAAUAUUGUUCAAUAGGGACGAAUUAGAGAUUGGGUUAGUGUAUCUAUAGAUAGCUGCGAACAGAGUUAUGAUUUAGUAUUAAUAGUUAGCAAUGAUAGGGGAUUGGUAAAGUUUAUGAGCAUUGAUUCUUAGGCCUUAUGUCUAGGUACGGGUUUAGUCUUGUUUUUGGGGUUUGGCAAGACAGAAAUAGACACGUAUUAUUAUAAAUAAGGUUAACGGGGGGGGGGGGUAAGGGGGGUUUGAUUAAGCUAGUUAUUUACUAAAUCAAAAUGUUUGCAUGUGUAUACGUGUAUACGUGUGUAUGUGUAUGUAUACGUGUACGUAUGUGUACGUGUGUACGUGUACGUGUGUACGUGUACGCAUAUACGUGUACGUGUGUACACGUACGUGUGUACGUGUACGUGUGUACGUGUGUAUGCAUAUACGUGGGUGCACGCUUGCCGUGUCCUGUGAAACAUUAGGAAUUUAAGUAUAUGUCCUGUGACCAUUGACUGAAUUGCACCUUGUUUGUUGUACGUGUGGAGACCCCGCAUAGAGAAUAAGCCCAGCUACAAUAUAUUUGACUGAGUCAGGACCUUUAGGUCAUAGCUGAGUCAUAGCAAGUUUGCCCCCCUAAAAUUAAAAAAUACCAAAUGCAUGACACCACAGUUAUGUGUGAUCAUGGGCUGAUUAGUCAUUAGUCCAUCGAGAUGUCCCAUUUGAGAGAGUUGAAGGAUUGGAUUUGAGGAUUUUAUG